GACGAACGCUGGCGGCGCGCCUAACACAUGCAAGUCGAACGGAGCUUAGAGAGCUUGCUUUUUAAGCUUAGUGGCGAACGGGUGAGUAACGCGUGAGUAACCUGCCCUAGAGUGGUGUGAGAUGGACCCGCGUCUGAUUAGCCAGUUGGCGGGGUAACGGCCCACCAAAGCGACGAUCAGUAGCCGGCCUGAGAGGGUGAACGGCCACAUUGGGACUGAGACACGGCCCAAACUCCUACGGGAGGCAGCAGUGGGGAAUAUUGCACAAUGGGCGCAGGCCUGAUGCAGCGACGCCGCGUGAAGGAUGAAGUAUUUCGGUAUGUAAACUUCUAUCAGCAGGGAAGAAAAUGACGGUACCUGACUAAGAAGCCCCGGCUAACUACGUG
This 386-nucleotide ribosomal RNA is filed under the name uncultured bacterium. RNAcentral describes it as "bacterial SSU rRNA". It matches the Rfam family "Bacterial small subunit ribosomal RNA", at positions 28 to 507 of the family's 1533-position model. The record is from RNAcentral.